CUUCUCCAGUUCAUUUUACAAAUGAAGAAAUUAAGGCAAGCAGUGUUAAGUGACUUGCCUAGGGUCACACAGCUUGGAAGUACCCAAGACUAAAUUUGAACUCAGUUCUUCCUGACUUAUGGCUGUUCUCUCCCCUUCUCCACCUAGUUGCCCUCUAAAAACUUAUUAGAGCAAUCACAAGAACUUAUGUGCAGAAAGUGAAGGCACUUUAAGGAUCUCCUCUCCUCUUUCAGAUAAGGAAACCGACUUACCCAUCCAAAAUAAAUGUAAACAGCACCGUAUGUCCUCUGAAUCAAAAUCCAACACUUUCUCCAAGGAAACGAGUUUGUUUUCACCUGUGCUUGGCCAAGCUAACUCGAAAUGAUCUCAGGCUACAAGAAUGUGGGUUGUCCAAGGAUAUGGGAGGUAAAUGCAAGAUUAGGUGCCAGUGAAGGUGAGAGAAACCAUAACUUUUCUGGGAAAUGAACAACCCACAGAGAAGCAAUUAGAAGAUGCUCAUUUGCAUAGGCUACGGGAUUGGUUCACACCGAUCCCCCCUGGAGGUCACUGAUGAGAACUUAGUGACUAAUGGCCAUUCUGAUUCAUAAAUGAAGCAGCAUUUCUUUUUAUGAUGUUAUAAAAACCCAGUGAAAUGCUGUUGGUCCAGACUCUAUGAAUUAGCAAUUUGUGAUGAUUUCAACAAAGAUGAGACUAAAGCUUCUCUCUCCAUAAUAAGAAAAAUGACUUAGUUUGGGCAAAGAAGUUCUCAGGAAAAAUGUCCAAACUCCUUAAGGAAGCCAACUCUGCAAGCAGGAGGAGAGAGGUGUCCUGGAGAGACCCCGUAGAGGCAACAGCAGGGCUCAACGCGGGAGGCAACCCAGUGAAGAACCUAGAAGAGCCUGGAUCAUUGAAGCAUUAGAACUGUGUACCUCUUACUGAGACCUGCUUCCAGUUGGCUGUCACUAGGAAGGAGCUGAUCCACUCAUUCACAAUGAAGUUCAAGAAUUAGUGUUAUCCUUUGCAGAGGCACUUGAUUUUAAAAAAGAACAUUGCUUGAACCCAGACAGAAUUUUAGAGACUGUUGAAUGGCUGGCUACUAUUUGUGGGGAUGAGGGGAAAAGGCAGAGUAGUGGGGUGGGACUUCCUCAGUCCCUCUUCUAUCAUAAUAUAUCAUAUUUCUAUAGUACCUCAAAUUCUCACCACAACUUAUGAUCAUUAUCCCCCAUUUUACAUGUAAAGGUAGGGGACUUCUUGUUUGUAUCAAUCACCCUAUCCCAAUUAAUGUGAUGAACAAGAUGCUAUAGUCCUGAUACCUUUAUCAGAUAAGAAAACCUUUAGAGAACCAAUGCCUCAAGUCCUUAGUUUGGAAGGAAGGAAAGUCAUUGAUCAAAUGAAAUGAUGGUAUGUAGGAAGUGUAUUGGGAUUGCCUACAGAGACUUGAUCAGAUCUUUUAGUACUUGAAUAAAAUAGCCAUUUCAGAAUCUAGAAUUCCAGCCAGUGGGCAUAGCUUUAGCCUAGUAAGAGAGUAGGAAAUUGCUCGAAUGCAAAGAGAGAAUAUCCAUCUCUUCUGCCUUCUUCUCCAUUAAUGAGAGGAAGAUCUAGUGAAUUUUGAAAGUUUGGAAGUUUUGCUAUUGAUGUCCUAGUUGUGUCCCGCCAACACUGGUCAAUGGCAGCAUUUCCAUCACUCAAAGGCUGAGUUCAAAUCGACUCUAUAAGAAACCCAACAGAAAGUAAUAUGUACCUCAGUGGAAUACUAUGAGAAUUCCACAAAGGGAGAACGGGACUUCCAUCUAAUCGAGAACUGUGAAUUACCUGUAAGCGUAAGUCCACUCUCCCUAGGACUUUUUAUGUGCUGGUAGGAGAUUGUGCCUUAUAUUGAUGUGAUAUUUCAAACCAACUGGUUUUGACUAUGCAACCUUAAUAAAUAUUCAUUCCUAAGAGCUAAAUAAGUCAGGCUGGAGCAUUGAUGUCAACUGACAAUUAAUGGGAAAACCCACCUGUGAGGACUCAUGAGCUACAGUAACUAGAACAAGCUCUAAUUCGGAUUGAGAGAGUAUUGUUUCUGUGUGAACAUUUAAUCCUCAAAAGUCAGCAAAUGCUAUGAAACAGGGCUCAAUUUAUUGUUUUGUUGAUUAUAUAGACUUAAGAAAAUGAUGGGGACAUUUUGUUAAGAAUGUGGAUUAAACUUUGAGA
Non-coding RNA from Monodelphis domestica (gray short-tailed opossum), 2172 nucleotides. The record is from RefSeq and is a predicted model, not a curated record. NCBI's taxonomy places the organism in Eukaryota, Metazoa, Chordata, Mammalia, Didelphimorphia, Didelphidae.